This is a microRNA precursor of Oryza rufipogon (brownbeard rice), 194 nucleotides long. It matches the Rfam family "MIR812 microRNA precursor family". The record is from Rfam. Lineage: Eukaryota; Viridiplantae; Streptophyta; Magnoliopsida; Poales; Poaceae.
CCUAAGUGCAACUAUAAAUUUCCGCGCUAAAUUUUGAUCGUCCGUCUUAUUUGAAAUUUUUUUAUAAUUAAUAUUUUUGUUGUUAUGAGAUGAUAAAACAUGAAUAAUAUUUUAUGUUUUCAAUUUUUUUCAAAAUUUUUUUAAAUAAGAUGGACGGUUAAGGUCAGACGCGGAAAACCAUAGCUACACUUAAA